RNAcentral lists this long non-coding RNA (339 nucleotides) under Oryza brachyantha (malo sina). RNAcentral describes it as "long non-coding RNA (OBRA_LNC001309)". Lineage: Eukaryota; Viridiplantae; Streptophyta; Magnoliopsida; Poales; Poaceae. The record is from RNAcentral.
CUCUCCCAUCUCCACCCAUCAAUGGAGAACAACCUCGUUAGCUGCCGCGUCGCUCUUCCUUAACUAGUUACUCUUCCUCUUCCACAUCUCCAUCCAUCUAUCGCCGCAGCUUCCAACCUCUGCCCGCCGCCGGCGACCCUGCAUGCGCGGAUGUCAGUGACCGGCCGGCCUCGUCUUCUUCCUUCUUGCUGCUGCCUCCGUGCGCUCUGGCACUGACGGACGUGUGCUUGUGCGUGUGUGUGUGUAGGAGCGAGACGGCGAACGAGCUGGCGGAGCUGCUCUGGGACAACGGCCCUGCGCUCAGGAGGCCGCCGCACCCGUUCCCGCCCUUCGCCUNNN